GACGAACGCUGGCGGCGCGCCUAACACAUGCAAGUCGAACGAGCGAGCGAGAGCUUGCUUUCUCGAGCGAGUGGCGAACGGGUGAGUAACGCGUGAGGAACCUGCCUCAAAGAGGGGGACAACAGUUGGAAACGACUGCUAAUACCGCAUAAGCCCACGGCUCGGCAUCGAGCAGGGGGAAAAGGAGCAAUCCGCUUUGAGAUGGCCUCGCGUCCGAUUAGCUAGUUGGUGAGAUAACGGCCCACCAAGGCGACGAUCGGUAGCCGGACUGAGAGGUUGAACGGCCACAUUGGGACUGAGACACGGCCCAGACUCCUACGGGAGGCAGCAGUGGGGAAUAUUGCACAAUGGGGGAAACCCUGAUGCAGCGACGCCGCGUGGAGGAAGAAGGUCUUCGGAUUGUAAACUCCUGUUGUUGGGGAAGAUAAUGACGGUACCCAACAAGGAAGUGACGGCUAACUACGUG
This 466-nucleotide ribosomal RNA is filed under the name uncultured bacterium. Its description in RNAcentral is "partial 16S ribosomal RNA". It matches the Rfam family "Bacterial small subunit ribosomal RNA", at positions 28 to 507 of the family's 1533-position model. The record is from RNAcentral.